GUGGGUUGCUCCAGAAGUAGAUAGCUUAACCGCAAGGGGGGCGUCUACCACGGAGUGGUCCAUGACUGGGGUGAAGUCGUAACAAGGUAGYYGUAGGUGAACCUGCAGAAGGAUCA
This 116-nucleotide ribosomal RNA is filed under the name uncultured eukaryote. Its description in RNAcentral is "partial small subunit ribosomal RNA". The record is from RNAcentral.